UAAGGGUUCCUGGGUCAAGCUGAUCUGCCCAGGGUAAGUCGGGACCUAAGGCGAGGCCGACAGGCGUAGUCGAUGGACAACCGGUUGAUAUUCCGGUACCCGCUUUGAAACGCCCAAUAUCGAAUCAGACGAUGCUAAGCCCGUGAAGCCGUUCCGGACCCUUCGGGGAAAGGAAAGUGGUGGAGCCGGUGACCCGGAUCUGUAGUAGGUAAGCGAUGGGGUGACGCAGGAAGGUAGUCCAGCCCGGGCGGUGGUAGUCCCGGGGUAAGGGUGUAGGCCGUGUGGUAGGCAAAUCCGUCACACAUUAAGGCUGAGACCUGAUGCCGAGCCGAUUGUGGUGAAGUGGAUGAUCCUAUGCUGUCGAGAAAAGCCUCUAGCGAGUUUCAUGGCGGCCCGUACCCUAAACCGACUCAGGUGGUCAGGUAGAGAAUACCGAGGCGUUCGGGUGAACUAUGGUUAAGGAACUCGGCAAAAUGCCCCCGUAACUUCGGGAGAAGGGGGGCCAUGUCUGGUGAGGGAAUUUACCUYCUGAGCUGGGUGUGGCCGCAGAGACCAGCGAGAAGCGACUGUUUACUAAAAACACAGGUCCGUGCGAAGCCGUAAGGCGAUGUAUACGGACUGACGCCUGCCCGGUGCUGGAACGUUAAGGGGACCGGUUAGC
This 661-nucleotide ribosomal RNA is filed under the name Streptomyces netropsis. Its description in RNAcentral is "bacterial LSU rRNA". It matches the Rfam family "Bacterial large subunit ribosomal RNA", at positions 1347 to 1894 of the family's 2925-position model. Lineage: Bacteria; Bacillati; Actinomycetota; Actinomycetes; Kitasatosporales; Streptomycetaceae. The record is from RNAcentral.